Non-coding RNA from Salmo salar (Atlantic salmon), 478 nucleotides. Lineage: Eukaryota; Metazoa; Chordata; Actinopteri; Salmoniformes; Salmonidae. The record is from RefSeq and is a predicted model, not a curated record.
GGGAAGCCAUCUUACAGACCACGGCAAAGGUGUGCAAGCAACUAGCCUCUGUUGAGGGAAGAGACUUCACUCUGCCGCCUGGACCACUGACUGCAGAGUCUCUGGCUCUAGCCUGCUCCUCAUCGGGGUCUGCUAAGAGUUUCCUGAGUGCCAUAUCAGACGUCACCUGGAGAAAUGCUGGAGUUGACUUCCGUCACACGUCCGAUGAAGAGUACCACUUUGAUGGGGAGAGGUUCGUGGAGGGGCGGAAACUCAUCACAGAUGGUGUGAGCUCUGUCAAAGCCAGCAUCAAGCAAGGGAACUUUGAGGCAGCAAGACAGAAGCUGGGAGACAUUUUACACACCUUACAGGACUUCUACAGUCACAGUAACUGGAUAGAACUGGGCAACAGAUUUCCCCAUUCCAAUCUUAUCAGAUCAGACUUGUCAGACAUCGGCCCUGUUGCAGAUAAGAACACGCCCACAUGUCGGAGCUGUGU